Molecule: non-coding RNA, 22 nt
Filed under: Arabidopsis thaliana (thale cress)
Lineage: Eukaryota; Viridiplantae; Streptophyta; Magnoliopsida; Brassicales; Brassicaceae
Source: RNAcentral
UGGUCGCUUUAUUGUCAACUGC